This is a long non-coding RNA of Sapajus apella (tufted capuchin), 877 nucleotides long. RefSeq lists it as uncharacterized. The record is from RefSeq and is a predicted model, not a curated record. NCBI's taxonomy places the organism in Eukaryota, Metazoa, Chordata, Mammalia, Primates, Cebidae. The transcript is spliced from 6 exons.
CGUGGCUGCGCUCAUUCGGGGCGGGGCCGCGCAGGACGCGCGCAGCCUAGCUUCGUGAGGCCUGAGCAACGGUUGCUGACGUGAGUCUGCGGUGACUGGAGCCGGAGCUGCAGGACUUUGGGACUGCGCCUCACUCGUCCAUCAUGAUUGCAAGUUUCCUGAAGCCUCCCCAGAAGCCAAGCAGAUACCAGCUUCAUGCUUCCUGUCCAACCUACAGAAUUACAGAGCCUUAUACUGAAACAUCACUUCUCAUUUACUGUUUGGACAACGGUGUUGGAACUGCUGCUUUAUUGCCUACGGAGAAGCAAAGUGAAGAGUCUAAAGUGGCUCUUGCAGUUACACUGGACAAAAGAAGUUUGAUACUCAGACUUGGUCCUGAAGAACACAUAGAGAAGGCUGACAGAUUAUAUAUAUUCACAGCUUUGGCCUAAAGGUGGCUGGUCGACCAAUAAGUAAUACAAGAAGAAAUGGUCUUUUCUGGAAUUGUACUAUUUUCCAGAUGAAUCUGACUGUUAACCUGAUAUGUGCAAAUGUUGAACAAAAUACAUCUGGAACUUCCCUGACGCUCAAUGAAUCUAGAAAGUAGAAGUGAGAAGCUUAAUUCUAGUUGAUAUUUGCCAGUAGAGCAGGAGCUUACAAAGGAAUGAGCAAGAGGGAAGAUGCUGGUCUCACUUAAAAUGGACUGCAGUACCUCCUCUGCUUGAAAUUCAGAGAAGCCAAGGACAUAUCCUGCACUUCCUGGCCAUGUUCCUUUGUUGAAGAGGCACAUUCAGAAUGUCUGGAGAGCACAGCACCAGCAUAAGGUGAGCACUCAUCUUACCAUUAUUAAAAACAAAAUUUUAAGUAGUUAAUUUGAUCAACCUAUGUUUUAUGACUU